RNAcentral lists this unclassified non-coding RNA (205 nucleotides) under Hevea brasiliensis (rubber tree). Lineage: Eukaryota; Viridiplantae; Streptophyta; Magnoliopsida; Malpighiales; Euphorbiaceae. The record is from RNAcentral.
UGAACGCAGAGCAAGACCGUCAAUCCACCGCGACUGUCGAUCCAACGCUCGGGAAACACAUCAAGGAUGGCCGGCACAAAGAGGAAUAUCCAACUUGCCAUAAGAAUGAUGCUCGAUACGCGAAGGGUAAGCGCAGCAAACAAAGCCGUUCCUGCGAGUAGCAAGAAGAGCAAGAAGAUGUUCACGACCACCAGGCCAGUUCCGC